GGCCAUAUAAGUUCUAUAUUUACUUACAGGCCACUCAUGAUUCAGCUUUUUUUUUUUUUUUUUUUUGAAUAUUUUGUUUUUGAACUUUCACUCAUAAAAAUUUGAAAAUAACAACUAAUUGAAGACAGAUGUCUCUUGAUUAUUGGUUACUGUGUAAUCAAUGCCACAUCAGCCUAAGUUGUUAUAAUGUUUGUUAGGUGGUUAAAUGAUUUGUUAGUUGGUUAAUUAGUUACUUGUGGUUAAGUAAGCUUGUAUUGUUUAGUAUAUAAUGCACUUCCACUUACAAAUGUAGUCAGUUGUCAUUUUCCUCAAAUAUAUAAAACUUUCUCUCUCUCUCUAAACUCUCUGUGUUCUUCCUUUUACUCAUCAUUUCUUCUUGAUUUUCCCUUCAAUUCUCAAACACUACAAUGUAGUUAACAUGGUAUCAGAGCCACCAGGCUCACGCCAUGGAUUCUGGUGGUUCCACUUCCCAUUAUUUUACAUAUGUUUCCAGCUUAGUUUCUUUUCCAAAUUUUCAUUAGGUGUUAGGAUAAGUUUCUGGGUGCUUCCGUGAUCAUUCUUUUAGGUUGAUUUGUUUUUGGGUUGAUUUCUUUCCGAUCAAAUUCAUGAGUCUCCUCGUGCCCGAUUGAAAGCGAGAGAUCGAAAGUUGGAGAACCGAGGCAAAGUUCUCGGCUUGUUCGACUUCGGAGAAAUGGCGGCUUCACCGAUUCCAAUCCCAUAUGAGCUGAUGGUUGCGCUUGCUGAUGGCAGCGACGAGCAUCACGGCUUGAUUGCGUAUUGGGAAUGGGACAAUGAAUUCUUGGAUCUCUACUAUGUUCUUUGGUAUGGAAGAAAGGCCAGACAUGGAUGCAGUCCACGUGUUUGACGAAUUGCUCUGCUUAGAAUUUUUCAUGUGAAGAUUGAUGCAAAGUUUGUUUCAAAUCGGAGUUUUUCGAGAUAGUGGUGUUUGUUUCAAAGUUUGUUGCAAAGAUUGAUUGCGUAUUGGGUAGCCUCAACGCCAUGGUCAACUUCUGGGUUCGAGACUGGCAGAAGAUGAGAAAGACGCUAAAUGCCAUGUCGUAUCUCCAUGGUCACAGACGCUUCCACGGCGACAUCAAGCUCGGAAACAUCUUGGUUGACUCUGAUGGGUCUAAGAUCGUCGAUUUCGGGGUUCAGGUUGUUUUCUGUAUCUUUAAUCCUUUUCUGCGUAUAUGGUGUUUGUGAAAAUGUCUUAGACAUAUAUUGUGGGAUUUUAUGCAUGAUUACGUGUGAAGGCCGAUGUCAUAUGUUGAAAGAUGAUGAAAUAUGAGUUCUUGUUAAUUGAAUGAUAAGGCCGAUGCCAAUGGAUUGAUGUUCUGAAGAUUCCAGUGUUGAAUAUUGUUAAUCUUGAAGUUGAAAUUGUUCAUCAAGAUGUCUGAUAAGUUUGUAAGAAUUGAAAGUUGGAUUUUAAUUGCUUGAAGAACUGUGUGAUUGGAUUCUUUGAUUGUCUUCUGUUCUCUGCUAUGAAAGAAAGAUUAGACCUAUGCGCAAUUCAUGUGUCUAUCGAAAUGCCCAGCUCAACAUUUUCAUGUGAAGGUGCUUAUUGAGGAGUUUGUGCAGUAUGUUUCCCUUAUCUUAGCCUAUAAUUUCAGAGUCUAACCAACUCAGUUGUUAGCAUGAAUCUACAGUAAGUCCGGUUACACGAAGGGUACAAGAAGUUGUUAACGGUAAAUCCCACGAAGGGUAAUCCCGUGUUUUGAGUAGGUAAAUCCCACGAAGGGUAAUCCUACAUAAAUGUUGAUUUUUCAGUUGUUGAAAUUGUGAAGGCCAAUGUCAUUGUUCAAAGAAGUUGUUUUUGGUAAAAUCCACAAAGGGCGAUCCUGUGGUGCUAUAGUUAAGGCCGAUGCCACACUAUAGUUUGUUAAUUUUCUGUUUUUGUAAAUAUUAAAGGCCGAAGCCAAGUUGAAUGAGAUUGUUGACGGUGAAUCCCACGAAGGGUAAUCCCGUACGAAGUUGUUAUACCGGCAUGAGGGUGUGCUACAACUACUUUAUAGAAGGUUGUUCUUAUGUAAAACUCCUGAUAGAGGCAGAGGCAUACAGGGUGUCUUUAUUUGUAAGGCAGUGGAAGAAAUUUGGAUUGACAGACAGAGGUUUUUGGUCAACAGCUACAAAGAGGUUAUGGGGUACACUUGUGUGUGUUAUGUUAUGAUCAGGCCGUUUGCUGCUACUCCACUGUGGUUGUCUGAUUAAAACAAAAGGAUAAUGAGCAAACAUUAGUGCCAAAAACUUUGAUACAUGAUUGGCAGGCAUAGCAGAUGAGCCAUAUGCUGGACCUGGUGCAAGGCAGGCCAGUUUGGAGAUUGCAAAGAUCAAUAAGAAGCAGAUGUCUCAACUUGCAGGACUCAACAGUUUAUCUCAUGCUCACAUUGCUGCAAUCUCAGGCUUGGUAACCUAGCUGAGAUUGAGGGGGGAUGAAGACAGAUGUCUCUUGAUUAUUGGUUACUGUGUAAUCAAUGCCACAUCAGCCUAAGUUGUUAUAAUGUUUGUUAGGUGGUUAAAUGAUUUGUUAGUUGGUUAAUUAGUUACUUGUGGUUAAGUAAGCUUGUAUUGUUUAGUAUAUAAUGCACUUCCACUUACAAAUGUAGUCAGUUGUCAUUUUCCUCAAAUAUAUAAAACUUUUUCUCUCUCUCUAAACUCUCGUGUUCUUCCUUUUACUCAUCCUUUCUUCUUGAUUUUCCCUUCAAUUCUCAAACACUACAAUGUAGUUAACACUAAUUACACGGAAUUUAAACUUGA
This 2754-nucleotide long non-coding RNA is filed under the name Malus domestica (apple). RNAcentral describes it as "long non-coding RNA (MDOM_LNC009665)". The record is from RNAcentral. Lineage: Eukaryota; Viridiplantae; Streptophyta; Magnoliopsida; Rosales; Rosaceae.